Molecule: signal recognition particle RNA, 265 nt
Filed under: Bacillota bacterium
Lineage: Bacteria; Bacillati; Bacillota
Description: signal recognition particle sRNA large type
Rfam family: Bacterial large signal recognition particle RNA
About the family: The signal recognition particle (SRP) is a universally conserved ribonucleoprotein involved in the co-translational targeting of proteins to membranes. Archaeal SRP consists of a 7S RNA and homologues of the eukaryotic SRP19 and SRP54 proteins. In most bacteria, the SRP consists of a 4.5S RNA and the Ffh protein (a homologue of the eukaryotic SRP54 protein).
Source: RNAcentral
CCGUGCUAGGCGGGGAGGUAGCGGUGCCCUGUACCUGCAAUCCGCUAUAGCAGGGCUGAAUUCUCGACCGAGGUUCGUGGUUGUCGGGGCCGGCAUCGGUAAGCGGCAGUGAUGGCCGGGUCCCACGCAAUGAGUCGUUCCGAACCGGGUCAGGUCCUGACGGAAGCAGCCCUAAGGGACUUUUCUCAUGUGCCGUGGGGGCGCCUGACCGGAGUUGGCUGCCGGUGUAUCGCCCGGUAACGGCGGAUCGACGAAGAGUGCACGG